RNAcentral lists this ribosomal RNA (445 nucleotides) under uncultured bacterium. RNAcentral describes it as "bacterial SSU rRNA". It matches the Rfam family "Bacterial small subunit ribosomal RNA", at positions 331 to 792 of the family's 1533-position model. The record is from RNAcentral.
CCAGACUCCUACGGGAGGCAGCAGUAGGGAAUCUUUCACAAUGGGCGAAAGCCUGAUGGAGCAACGCCGCGUGCAGGAUGAAGGCCUUCGGGUUGUAAACUGCUUUUAUAAGCGAGAAAUAUGAUGGUAACUUAUGAAUAAGGAUCGGCUAACUACGUGCCAGCAGCCGCGGUCAUACGUAGGAUCCGAGCAUUAUCCGGAGUGACUGGGUGUAAAGAGUUGCGUAGGUGGGCGCUUAAGUCAGGUGUGAAAACUCCGGGCUCAACCUGGAGACUGCACUUGAAACUGGGUGUCUUGAGGGCAGGAGAGGAAAGUGGAAUUCCUAGUGUAGCGGUGAAAUGCGUAGAUAUUAGGAGGAACACCAGUGGCGAAGGCAACUUUCUGGACUGUACCUGACGCUGAGGCGCGAAAGCGUGGGUAGCGAACGGGAUUAGAUCCCCCCGUA